GACGAACGCUGGCGGCGCGCUUAACACAUGCAAGUCGAACGGAAAGGCCUGCUUUCCCUUGUGGAUUGCGGGUACUCGAGUGGCGAACGGGUGAGUAACACGUGAGUGAUCUGCCCCCAACUUGGGUAUAAGCCUGGGAAACUGGGUCUAAUUCCCGAUAGGACUGCAGGGUGGUGCCUGUGGUGGAAAACGAUUUUCUAGUGGUUGGGGAUGAGCUCGCGGCCUAUCAGCUUGUUGGUGGGGUAAUGGCCUACCAAGGCGGCGACGGGUAGCCGGCCUGGGAGGGUCGACGGCCACAUUGGGACUGGGAUACGGCCCAGACUCCUACGGGAGGCAGCAGUUGGGAAUAUUGCACAGUGGGCGGAAGCCUGAUGCAGCGACGCCGCGUGGGGGAUGACGGCCUUCGGGUUGUAAACUCCUUUCGACCGCGAGGAAGCCACCUGGUUGGAAGGGUGGUGACGGUAGUGGUAGAAGAAGCACCGGCUAACUACGUG
Molecule: ribosomal RNA, 494 nt
Filed under: uncultured bacterium
Lineage: Bacteria
Description: partial 16S ribosomal RNA
Rfam family: Bacterial small subunit ribosomal RNA
Source: RNAcentral